UACGUAGGGGGCAAGCGUUGUCCGGAAUUAUUGGGCGUAAAGAGCGUGUAGGCGGCCAAGCAGGUCCGCUGUGAAAACUCGAGGCUCAACCUCGAGACGUCGGUGGAAACCGUUUGGCUAGAGUCCGGAAGAGGAGAGUGGAAUUCCCGGUGUAGCGGUGAAAUGCGCAGAUAUCGGGAAGAACACCCGUGGCGAAGGCGGCUCUCUGGGACGGUACUGACGCUGAGACGCGAAAGCGUGGGGAGCGAACAGG
RNAcentral lists this ribosomal RNA (253 nucleotides) under uncultured bacterium. RNAcentral describes it as "partial 16S ribosomal RNA". It matches the Rfam family "Bacterial small subunit ribosomal RNA", at positions 524 to 776 of the family's 1533-position model. The record is from RNAcentral.